Molecule: long non-coding RNA, 2928 nt
Organism: Helianthus annuus (common sunflower)
Lineage: Eukaryota; Viridiplantae; Streptophyta; Magnoliopsida; Asterales; Asteraceae
Exons: 9
Source: RefSeq, a predicted model, not a curated record
UUUAAACUCCAUUUUUUAACUGGUAUUGUGGCAGUUCACAGCAGUUUCUUUUGCCUUCAACCUACGUCCCACGUCUUACAUCCCUCCCCCGGCAGUUAUUGAUAGGUUUUAUUGGUUUAUCUGGAAACUCCCCACUCCCCUACUACUUCCACCAUUUCCUGCCCAUGAUCUCACGGUUACAGAUCUGUUGGAUGAUCACAUCGGCUAACACUCACCGGGGUGAAGACUGCAAUCAUUGCCGUUUAACAUCCCCGUCACAGGAAACCAUAACCCUCACUAUCGUCACCUCGGCAGUUCGUACCAAACCAACGGUGUUGAUAAAACAGACCUUCGCAUCUCCUUUGUCACCUCUCUCUCCCCUCUUUUCCAGCGGCCGAUCUUCUUCUUCUUCAUUUGUAAAUUCUAUUGUAAAAGCCACCAAUUUUGCAGAGUCACAAGCAUCUAUUAGAAGUUAAUGACCACAAGGAUCUUAAACAGAAGAUGAAGAUCCUCUAAUAGAAGAUUUGGCGACAGUAUAUAUCGUUAUACAAUACUGAAAACAAUUGUUUGAUCUGUCAUUGGAUCGGUAUGGAAUCACGGAUACAAGAUCAUCCGGAAAUGUCACUUUGGUUUGGAAUGACUUAUUUAAGUCCUAUGAACUAAAAAUAAAGACUGAGAUAGAGGUUGAAUUAUUAAAAGAUUAAGUAAAUUCAAGUAUAUUUCAUAAGAAAAUAAAGACUGCGAUAAUGUGUACUUUGACUUUAGGAAGUCAAAUGGUGAAGGAAGAAAGAUUACAAAUAUGAAGUUCAACAGGUCCAGGGGCAGGGAAGAUGAUGUUAGUCCGAACAUUACAAUGUUUUAGUAAAUUAAACAAUUUACAGCAUGUAUAUUCACAUGUCAGCAGACAAGUGGUAGGAAGACAUACACCAUGACUGGCAUCACUCAGUAUGCAUUAUCAGAUUUAUUUGAACACAUAAACAAGCAAACUAAUAGAAAAUUUAUGCUGGUGACAUUUUCAAUGAAAUACCUUAUUGCAUGUGGUACUCCAUGUCUCCACUUAGACUCCUGGAUGAUCAAGAGGAUACAAGAGGCUGCGAUGGCAACCAAGAGAUUAAAAGGACUGUUUUUUACUACAAGAUGUCAGUCAUUAAAAUUAUCAGCCUCUUUUUGUUUUUUUUUUGUUUUUUUUAUAUCAACAUAAUGAUUUUUGUCGUCUAUCUUUGUUUGAAGUUUAUUUAGUCUUCUAAGGGGGUAUUUAGUUUGAGGGUUUGAAUUUGAAGGUACGGAUUUGAUAGCUUUGAGUAUGCUUGGUUUUUAAAAGCACGCCUAGGUGUGAGGCGACCUCAGGCGUAAUGGUCAUCGCUUUUACUUACUGAACUCCCUUCAACCCACCCAAUCCGUCUUGGCCUUUUUCUCAGUUACGGUCUUUUUAUUUUAAUCCAUCUUAGGUUUUUUUUUUGUUCAUCUUAGUACCUUCAUAAGAGCUUUUGUGCUCCUUCGUAUUGUUUCCAUAAAUGUUAUAAUUCAUAUUUGUUUUAUAAGAUUGUAAAUAUUUUAGAUAAACCAUUAUUAUCAAAGUUUAAAUGUAAACAAAAUAUCGUAUUUAAUAACAAUUUUCUUUAGAGAUGUUGACGAUUUAUUUAUAGUACUUUUAUGUAAAACCAACUUUAAAUUGUAUGAAUAAAAUAAAAUUAAAUAAAUAUAUCAAAGUCACAAAAUAGUACAUUGAUAUAUAAAAAAUUGAAAUAAAAAAGUGACAUUCUCAUGUGUUUCUCUAAAUGUCUAACAUGAAAGAUGAUUUAAUAUGUGUAAUGUUUUGGUCAGUUUCAAUAUGAACCCAAUUUUUGAACUGAACCUUUUUUGACUCUUAGCUUUUAGAAAAACUGAUGGCCAAAGUAAGACUGCAUAAACCCACCACACAUGGGUUGAUGUCAGAUUAUAAGCUAUAUACAUUUGAACUUGAAUAUUCAUAGUUUUGACCUCAAAAGUCAAACGAUACCUUUAUUUUUGUUUGUGUAAUCAAGUAUGUAGCAUUUUUACCUUUAAUCAUGACAUAUUUUAUUGUCUCAGCAAAAGCGUUUGUAGUCUCGACUGUGGUGUAUUUUCUAGAUGAUACGCUUCAUUAUAAAGACUAUUUCGUUAGAAAAGAUGAGGCAAACAUUUGUGGGAGCAAUUUUGUUCUUUCAAGAAUGAUUCCAGAAGUGAAGAGUUCUACUGUUUGCCCUUCAGUUUCAAUAGAUAUUUCUUAUCUGUUUGAUAUGAUGGGGUUCUUUUUGGUCUCAUUUGAUGUAUCUACAAUAUGUAAUCAUGUUAGAGGUUUGGUCAGUCAUGGAGAUUCUUUUAGGUUUAUUAAUUAUAUCGUUUUCCAUCUUCACAUAUUCAAAAUUAUAGGUUUGUGAACUAUCAUUGUAAUUUUGAUCUUUUUUCCUAUGCAAUUUCAUUUAUAUUUUGGUUAUUUAUAGAGUUAUAAUUUAUAUUUAUCAACCCGUGUAAUACACGGGCAUCUAACCUAAUAUAUUUAUAUGAUGCUCUAAAGAUGAUUUUUUGAAGCCAAUUCAAAGAUGCAAGGUAGAGUAUCUUUCCAAAUUCGCAUUUGAUGCUGAGUUAGUGUGUUAUUGAUCUUGAAAUUGAAAAUGCUCUAAUGUCCGGUAUGGACUAUAUUGAAGUUCCUCAAAUUGGUUCAUGUUCCGGUUCUAGAGGACGGGGUUUGAAAACUACCACUGAAUUACAGACCUACAGCAAAGGCUAGAUGUGAAACAUCCCAGGUUUGUUUUUUCUUAUAGUUUGGAUUCUCUUUUUUUGUGUAUACCAUGUCAAAAUCAUUUAAUUUAAGAUAGUUGUAUUUCUGUGUAGUGAUUUCUGACAUAAUGUGAUUAAGUAGAAAGGUUAGUGAUAAUAGAUAUGUUUUUCUUAUUUGUGUAAGUGGAUAUUUUUAGUGAUGAAAGUCAA